CCCUACGGGGCGCAGCAGUGAGGAAUAUUGGUCAAUGGGCGGGAGCCUGAACCAGCCAUGCCGCGUGAAGGCGAGUGCCCUACGGGCGUUAAACUUCUUUUGUGCGGGAGCAAUAAGGGCCACGUGUGGCCCGAUGAGAGUACCGCACGAAUAAGCAUCGGCUAACUCCGUGCCAGCAGCCGCGGUAAUACGGAGGAUGCGAGCGUUAUCCGGAUUUAUUGGGUUUAAAGGGUGCGUAGGCGGACUGGAAAGUCAGCGGUAAAAUCGAGAGGCUCAACCUCUUUCCGCCGUUGAAACUGUCGGUC
RNAcentral lists this ribosomal RNA (305 nucleotides) under uncultured bacterium. RNAcentral describes it as "bacterial SSU rRNA". It matches the Rfam family "Bacterial small subunit ribosomal RNA", at positions 337 to 641 of the family's 1533-position model. The record is from RNAcentral.